GGCCGUAGCGCCCGCUUCCCGGCAUGCCCCGCGCACCCCUGCCCGGGACACUCACCGGCGCCGGCGGCCCCCGCUUCGGCUCUGCAGCGGCGGCUGCACACCCAGCCUCUGCGCCUGCGUCGCAAGUAGGAUGAACGAUCAUGGUGAAAGAGAAGCCCAGCCAGCAGCCAGCACCAACCGCCAGCUGUGUGAGUGAGGCCAUUCUGGAUCAUCCAGCCCCAGCUGCCCCACCAGAUGAUGGCAGCCACACAAGUGACCCCAGUUGAGACCAAUAAAAGAUCUGCCCAUCUGAUACAGCCCAAACUGCUGAACCCCAGAAUCACGAACAAAUAAGUAAAAGAAAAGAACACUGGUUGUAUUUUAUGGUUGCACUAUGUCCAGCAGAAAAAGGCAUUCCUCAGUCUCCUUGCAGCAAGGUAAAGCCAUCUGAUAAAAUUUUGUCCAGUUGGAUAUAAGCCAAAAUGUUGUGUGACAAUUUUGAGAGGACUUCCUGAAACAGGUGGACAAACCCUUUUUCUACUGAGUCACCUUUGUGCCACCUGGAACUAGCAGUGUGAUGCAUGGAAUUUAGGCAGCCAUAUUGAACCAUGAGGACAAGAGCAGUGGGGAUGGCGGAACCAAGAGCUGGAAGGUGCCUGAGUCUCUGGUGAAGAUGUGGAGCUGCUGUAACAGCCCUGGACUCCUACUUCUGGACUUCCUUUAUGUUUGAGUGUAACACUUUGAGUAUUUUAAUUUUUUUAAUUUAUUUUAGAGAUGAGGUCUCACUAUGUUGCCUAGGCUGGACUCAAACUCUUAUGCUCAAGCAGUCCUCCUGCCUCAGCUUCAUGAGUAGCUGAAACUAUAGCACUUUGGGUAUUUGAGCCACUGAGGUAUAUCUAGCACCUCCUGGAAUAUCAAGCUUAACAUGUCCAAUCCUUGCCCCAGAUAUUUUCCUCCCCCAAUUUUCUCAAUCUCAAUAAAUGUCACCACCAUCCACCUGGUUGCUCAGGUCAAAAACCUAGAAAUCAUUCAAGUUCUCUCCCUUUCCCUCAUCCCCAAUAUCCAUUCCAUCAGCAAUAUCUGUCCAUUCUAUCUCCAGGACAUAUCCCAGAUCUCAUCACCUUUGUCUGCGUCUCCUACCCUCACUCUCAUCCAGCAUCAUCCCUCACCUGGACUCUGCAAGAGCCUACUUGUGGGUCUGUCUGCGUCCCUGUCUGCCUCCUCCAGGGCCAUUCUCCAUCCAGUGGCCGGAUGGAUUUUUCAAAGAGGUAAAUCAGAUCAGUUCACUUCUCUGCUUAAAACCCUCCGAGGGCUGCCUAUAACACGUAGAGUAACAUAGAGACCCCUUCCCAGGGACUUCAAGGUGCUACAUGGCCUGGCCCCUCGCUGACCUCACUUCACUCUGGGCUUGCUAGCCUUGCUGUCCCUCACACAUGCUGAGCUCGUUCCCACCACAGGGCCUUUUCCCUUUUCUUCCUUCUCCCUGGAAUGUUCUUCUCCCCACCUCCCAACCUCUAUCUUCCCAGGGCUGACUCCUGUUCCCAUUUGGGUCUCAAAUCAUGUCAGUACCUUCUCAGAGAGGCCUUCCCUCACUGCUCAUCCCUUCACCUUUAGAACACUUUCUUUUCUUUUAAGAGACAAAGUCAGCCUGAUGCAGUGGCUCAUGCCUGUAAUCCCAGCACUUUGAGAGGCCAAGGUGGGCAGAUCACCUGAGGUCAGGAGUUCAAGACCAGCCUGGCCAACAUGGCAAAACCCCGUCUCUACUAAAAAAUACAAAAAUUAGCCAGGCAGUGGUAGCCCUGGCUACUCAGGAGGCUGAGGCAGAAUUGCUUGAACCCGGGUGGCAGAGGUUGCAGUGAGCCGAGAUCAAGCCACUGCACUCCAACCUGGGUGACAGAGCGAGACUCUGUCUCAAAAAAAAAAAAAAAAAAAAAAAAAAAGACAAGGUAUUGCUCUGUCGCCCAGGCUAGAGUGCAGUGGUGCAAUCACGGCUCACUGCAGCCUCGAACUCCUGGGCUCAAGCCAUCCUCCCACCUCAGCUUCCCGAGUAGCUGGGAUUAUAGGCUCCUCCCACCACACCUGGCUAAUUUUUGUGCUUUUUGUGGAGAGAGAGAUUCUCCAUGUUGCCCAGGCUGGUCUCCAACUCCUGGGCUCAAGGGAUCCUCCUGCCUCGGCUUCCCAAAGUGCUGGGAUUACAGGUGUGAGCCACUGCGCCUGGUCCAGGACACUUGCUAUUUCCUCACCAUUGCUUUAUUUCUUCUACGAAGAUUUCACUGGAAUCAUCAGAUUAAUUUGCUUAUUUGUUUACUGUCUGUCACUCAUGACUGGAAUGUAUACUCUAGGAAGGCAGGGAUAUAAUCCAAUGGGUUUACUGCUGCACCCCUAGUACCCAGAAGAGUGCUUGGCACCUGAUAAGUGUCUGGGGAAUUUGCUACAUGAAUUACAUGUGUCAGAUGGGAUAUCUGUCUUUCUUCUCUCUUUUUUUCUUUUUCUUUCCCUCUUUCUUUCUUUCUCUCUCUCUUUCUUUCUUUUUUCUUUGUUUGAGAUAAGGUCUCACUCUGUCACCCAGACUAGAGUGCAGUGGUGCAAUCAUGGCUCACUGCAACCUUGAACACGUGGGCUCAAGCGAUCCUCCCACCUCAGGCUACCAAAUAGCUAAGACUACAGAAGUGCCUAGCCAUGCCCAGCUAAUUAAAAAAAAAAAAAAAAUUUUUUUUUUUUUUUUUUUAAAGAUGGGGGUCUCAAUAUCUUGCCCAGGUUGGUCUUAAACUCCUAGGCUCAAGCAAUCCUCCUGCCUUGGCCUCCCAAAGUGCUGGGAUUAUAGGCAUGAGCCACUGCAGCUGGCCCAGACAGAAUCUCAUUUCAGCCUGACAACUUUGUGACAUCAUUAUUUUCAUCUUAAACACCUAGGUUGAUCCCAGCUCAACCACUUGCCAUCUGUGUGAUCUGUGGGCAAGUGACCUUACCUUUCUGAGCCUCAGUUGCCCCAUCUAUAAAAUGGGAAUGAUGCCAGUGCCUGCCUCGAAAGGAUGAGCCCCGUGCCUGAAGCUCAGGGAGCCCUCUCUGCAAGGCUGUUUUAGUGCAACCUCCGGAAACAUGCCCAUGCAUGUGAAAACUGGCAUGCACAUUCUGGUGCUUUUAAAAACAUCUCGAAUUCUAUCCGUAGAUCCUGGACCUCAAGGCUGGUUCAGUGCUAGCCCCCCAUUUUACAGAUGUGGAGAAUGAGGCUUAGCGGGUCCCAGGCAAGUCAGUGGCAAAACUCACCAUCUCCUGGGAGCCAUCAGGUUCCUCUGGAUCUGCCCCCACCAAAUUUAUCCCCUGCUCUCUGCUUGAGGGUGCACAUGGGGUGAGGGUGGGGGGCUUUUGUUUUACUCCCUCCCCCUCCUGAGGAGUCAGUAACCAACAGUAUCUGUGCCUGGAAUAUUAAUGUCUCCGCA
This is a long non-coding RNA of Symphalangus syndactylus (siamang), 3416 nucleotides long. RefSeq lists it as uncharacterized. Lineage: Eukaryota; Metazoa; Chordata; Mammalia; Primates; Hylobatidae. The record is from RefSeq and is a predicted model, not a curated record.